AUAUAAGCGAAGAUAGGAUGUAAAGUAGUGUUUAUCUCCCUGUUUUUUAGAGAGCUGAUGAUUGGUGGAAAUCAGUACAAAGAUAAACAUGAAUUUCAAUUCUGGAGCUUUCUUUUCUAAAAAAGAUGAAACAUCUUCUAAAAGAAAAGACGGUCAAAUAGAUCGUUAACAAUGAAGAGUGGUAGAUAGUCAUAUCUACAACUAGGGUGGUACCGCGAUAAUUGAUCGUCCCUACU
RNAcentral lists this non-coding RNA (236 nucleotides) under Bacillus sp. (in: firmicutes). RNAcentral's name for it is "Bacillus sp. T-box sequence". It matches the Rfam family "T-box leader". From Rfam's summary of the family: Uncharged tRNA acts as the effector for transcription antitermination of genes in the T-box leader family. T-boxes are found upstream of many aminoacyl-tRNA synthetase genes and some amino acid biosynthetic genes usually in Gram-positive bacteria. Lineage: Bacteria; Bacillati; Bacillota; Bacilli; Caryophanales; Bacillaceae. The record is from RNAcentral.